AGGCUCAGAUUGAACGCUGGCGGCAGGCCUAACACAUGCAAGUCGAGCGGAUGACAGGAGCUUGCUCCUGAAUUCAGCGGCGGACGGGUGAGUAAUGCCUAGGAAUCUGCCUGGUAGUGGGGGACAACGUUUCGAAAGGAACGCUAAUACCGCAUACGUCCUACGGGAGAAAGCAGGGGACCUUCGGGCCUUGCGCUAUCAGAUGAGCCUAGGUCGGAUUAGCUAGUUGGUGAGGUAAUGGCUCACCAAGGCGACGAUCCGUAACUGGUCUGAGAGGAUGAUCAGUCACACUGGAACUGAGACACGGUCCAGACUCCUACGGGAGGCAGCAGUGGGGAAUAUUGGACAAUGGGCGAAAGCCUGAUCCAGCCAUGCCGCGUGUGUGAAGAAGGUCUUCGGAUUGUAAAGCACUUUAAGUUGGGAGGAAGGGCAGUAAAUUAAUACUUUGCUGUUUUGACGUUACCGACAGAAUAAGCACCGGCUAACUCUGUGCCAGCAGCCGCGGUAAUACAGAGGGUGCAAGCGUUAAUCGGAAUUACUGGGCGUAAAGCGCGCGUAGGUGGUUCGUUAAGUUGGAUGUGAAAUCCCCGGGCUCAACCUCGGGAACUGCAUUCAAAACUGUCGAGCUAGAGUAUGGUAGAGGGUGGUGGAAUUUCCUGUGUAGCGGUGAAAUGCGUAGAUAUAGGAAGGAACACCAGUGGCGAAGGCGACCACCUGGACUGAUACUGACACUGAGGUGCGAAAGCGUGGGGAGCAAACAGGAUUAGAUACCCUGGUAGUCCACGCCGUAAACGAUGUCAACUAGCCGUUGGGAGCCUUGAGCUCUUAGUGGCGCAGCUAACGCAUUAAGUUGACCGCCUGGGGAGUACGGCCGCAAGGUUAAAACUCAAAUGAAUUGACGGGGGCCCGCACAAGCGGUGGAGCAUGUGGUUUAAUUCGAACAACGCGAAGAACCUUACCAGGCCUUGACUCCAAUGAACUUUCCAGAGAUGGAUUGGUGCCUUCGGGAGCAUUGAGACAGGUGCUGCAUGGCUUGUCGUCGCUCGUGUCGUGAGAUGUUGGGUUUAGUCCCGUACCGAGCGCAACCCC
This 1089-nucleotide ribosomal RNA is filed under the name uncultured Pseudomonas sp. RNAcentral describes it as "bacterial SSU rRNA". It matches the Rfam family "Bacterial small subunit ribosomal RNA", at positions 20 to 1105 of the family's 1533-position model. The record is from RNAcentral. Lineage: Bacteria; Pseudomonadati; Pseudomonadota; Gammaproteobacteria; Pseudomonadales; Pseudomonadaceae.